Molecule: ribosomal RNA, 253 nt
Filed under: uncultured microorganism
Description: partial 16S ribosomal RNA
Rfam family: Bacterial small subunit ribosomal RNA
Source: RNAcentral
UACGUAGGGUGCGAGCGUUAAUCGGAUUUACUGGGCGUAAAGCGUGCGCAGGAGGCCCGUUAAGACAGGUGUGAAAUCCCUGGGCUCAACCUAGGAAUUGCGCUUGUGACUGGCGGGCUCGAGUACGGUAGAGGGGGGUGGAACUCCUGGUGUAGCAGUGAAAUGCGUAGAGAUCAGGAGGAACACCGAUGGCGAAGGCAGCCCCCUGGGCCUGUACUGACGCUCAUGCACGAAAGCGUGGGGAGCAAACAGG